UACGGAGGGGGCGAGCGUUGUUCGGAAUCAUUGGGCGUAAAGGGCGCGUAGGCGGCGUCGUAAGUCAGAUGUGAAAGCCCUUGGCUUAACCAAGGAAUUGCAUCUGAAACUGCGGUGCUUGAAUCCGGGAGGGGAGAGUGGAAUUCCCAGUGUAGCGGUGAAAUGCGUAGAUAUUGGGAGGAACACCGGCGGCGAAGGCGGCUCUCUGGACCGGUAUUGACGCUGAGGCGCGAAAGCUAGGGGAGCAAAC
RNAcentral lists this ribosomal RNA (250 nucleotides) under uncultured bacterium. Its description in RNAcentral is "partial 16S ribosomal RNA". It matches the Rfam family "Bacterial small subunit ribosomal RNA", at positions 524 to 773 of the family's 1533-position model. The record is from RNAcentral.